GAUGAACGCUGGCGGCGUGCCUAAUACAUGCAAGUCGAGCGAACAGACGAGGAGCUUGCUCCUUUGACGUUAGCGGCGGACGGGUGAGUAACACGUAGGUAACCUACCUAUAAGACUGGGAUAACUUCGGGAAACCGGAGCUAAUACCGGAUAAUAUUUCGAACCGCAUGGUUCGAUAGUGAAAGAUGGCUUUGCUAUCACUUAUAGAUGGACCUGCGCCAUAUUAGCUAGUUGGUAAGGUAACGGCUUACCAAGGCAACGAUACGUAGCCGACCUGAGAGGGUGAUCGGCGACACUGGAACUGAGACACGGUCCAGACUCCUACGGGAGGCAGCAGUAGGGAAUCUUCCGCAAAGGGCGAAAGCCUGACGGAGCAACGGCGCGUGAGUGAUGAAGGUCUUCGGAUCGUAAAACUCUGUUACUAGGGAAGAACAAACGUGUAAGUAACUGUGCACGUCUUGACGGUACCUAAUCAGAAAGCCACGGCUAACUACGUG
This 497-nucleotide ribosomal RNA is filed under the name uncultured bacterium. RNAcentral's name for it is "partial 16S ribosomal RNA". It matches the Rfam family "Bacterial small subunit ribosomal RNA", at positions 28 to 507 of the family's 1533-position model. The record is from RNAcentral.